GGCUGACUAUCAGCAGUUCUUCACUGGCAAGCUUUAUGUUCCUGUUUAGCAGCUAAAGCUGCCAGCUGAAGAACUGUUGGGGCCAGC
RNAcentral lists this microRNA precursor (87 nucleotides) under Scleropages formosus (Asian bonytongue). RNAcentral describes it as "mir-22 microRNA precursor family". It matches the Rfam family "mir-22 microRNA precursor family". The record is from Rfam by way of RNAcentral. Lineage: Eukaryota; Metazoa; Chordata; Actinopteri; Osteoglossiformes; Osteoglossidae.